AUUGAACGCUGGCGGCAGGCUUGACACAUGCAAGUCGAGCGGAGAUGAGGUGCUUGCACCUUAUCUUAGCGGCGGACGGGUGAGUAAUGCUUAGGAAUCUGCCUAUUAGUGGGGGACAACAUUCCGAAAGGAAUGCUAAUACCGCAUACGUCCUACGGGAGAAAGCAGGGGAUCUUCGGACCUUGCGCUAAUAGAGGAGCCUAAGUCGGAAUAGCUAGUUGGUGGGGUAAAGGCCUACCAAGGCGACGAUCUGUAGCGGGUCUGAGAGGAUGAUCCGGCACACUGGGACUGGGACACGGCCCAGACUCCUACGGGAGGCAGCAGUGGGGAAUAUUGGACAAUGGGGGGAAACCUGAUCCAGCCAUGCCGCGUGUGUGAAGAAGGCCUUAUGGUUGUAAAGCACUUUAAGCGAGGAGGAGGCUACUGAGACUAAUACUCUUGGAUAGUGGACGUUACUCGCAGAAUAAGCACCGGCUAACUCUGUGCCAGCCGCCGCCGUAA
RNAcentral lists this ribosomal RNA (501 nucleotides) under uncultured bacterium. RNAcentral describes it as "partial 16S ribosomal RNA". It matches the Rfam family "Bacterial small subunit ribosomal RNA", at positions 30 to 523 of the family's 1533-position model. The record is from RNAcentral.